GAGUUUGAUCGUGGCUCAGAUUGAACGCUAGCGGGAUGCUUUACACAUGCAAGUCGAACGGCAGCGGGUCCUUCGGGAUGCCGGCGAGUGGCGAACGGGUGAGUAAUGUAUCGGAACGUGCCCAGUAGCGGGGGAUAACUACGCGAAAGCGUGGCUAAUACCGCAUACGCCCUUAGGGGGAAAGGCGGGGAUCCUUCGGGACCUGUCACUAUUGGAGCGGCCGAUAUCGGAUUAGCUGGUUGGUGGGGUAAUGGCCUACCAAGGCGACGAUCCGUAGCUGGUUUGAGAGGACGACCAGCCACACUGGGACUGAGACACGGCCCAGACUCCUACGGAAGGCAGCAGUGGGGAAUUUUGGACAAUGGGGGCAACCCUGAUCCAGCCAUCCCGCGUGUGCGAUGAAGGCCUUCGGGUUGUAAAGCACUUUUGGCAGGGAAGAAAUUGCCUGGGUUAAUAGCCUGGGCCGAUGACGGUACCUGCAGAAUAAGCACCGGCUAACUACGUGCCAGCAGCCGCGGUAAUACGUAGGGUGCGAGCGUUAAUCGGAAUUACUGGGCGUAAAGCGUGCGCAGGCGGUUCGGAAAGAGAGAUGUGAAAUCCCAGGGCUCAACCUUGGAACUGCAUUUUUAACUACCGGGCUAGAGUGUGUCAGAGGUGGGUGGAAUUCCGCGUGUAGCAGUGAAAUGCGUAGAGAUGCGGAGGAACACCGAUGGCGAAGGCAGCCCCCUGGGAUAACACUGACGCUCAUGCACGAAAGCGUGGGUAGCAAACAGGAUUAGAUACCCUGGUAGUCCACGCCCUAAACGAUGUCAACUAGCUGUUGGGGCUUUCGGGCCUUGGUAGCGCAGCUAACGCGUGAAGUUGACCGCCUGGGGAGUACGGUCGCAAGAUUAAAACUCAAAGGAAUUGACGGGGACCCGCACAAGCGGUGGAUGAUGUGGAUUAAUUCGAUGCAACGCGAAAAACCUUACCUACCCUUGACAUGUC
RNAcentral lists this ribosomal RNA (987 nucleotides) under uncultured Burkholderiales bacterium. RNAcentral's name for it is "bacterial SSU rRNA". It matches the Rfam family "Bacterial small subunit ribosomal RNA", at positions 9 to 990 of the family's 1533-position model. The record is from RNAcentral. Lineage: Bacteria; Pseudomonadati; Pseudomonadota; Betaproteobacteria; Burkholderiales.